ACAUGCAAGUCGAGCGGUAAGGCCCCUUCGGGGGUACACGAGCGGCGGACGGCUGAGUAACACGUAGGAACACGUACCACAAACUGAGGGAUAAGCACCAGAAAUGGUGUCUAAUACCGCAUGUGCUCUUCGGAGUAAAGCUUCGGCGGUUUGGGAACGGCCUGCGCAUGAUUAGCUUGUUGGUGAGGUAAUGGCUCACCAAGGCAAUGAUCAUUAGCUGGUCUGAGAGGAUGAUCAGCCAGACUGGGACUGAGAACGGCCCAGACUCCUACGGGAGGCAGCAGUGGGGAAUUUUCCACAAUGGGCGAAAGCCUGAUGGAGCAACGCCGCGUGCAGGAUGAAGGCUUUCGGGUCGUAAACUGCUUUUAUCUGUGACGAAUAUGACGGUAGCAGAUGAAUAAGGAUCGGCUAACUCCGUGCCAGCAGCCGCGGUCAUACGGAGGAUCCAAGCGUUAUCCGGAAUUACUGGGCGUAAAGAGUUGCGUAGGUGGCAUAGUAAGUCAGUAGUGAAAGCGUGCGGCUCAACCGCAUAAACAUUACUGAAACUGCUAAGCUAGAGGAUGAGAGAGGUUAUUGGAAUUCCUAGUGUAGGAGUGAAAUCCGUAGAUAUUAGGAGGAACACCGAUGGCGUAGGCAGAUAACUGGCUCAUUCCUGACACUAAGGCACGAAAGCGUGGGUAGCAACGGGAUUAGAUACCCCGGUAGUCCACGCUGUACACGAUGGAUGCC
Molecule: ribosomal RNA, 729 nt
Filed under: uncultured soil bacterium
Lineage: Bacteria
Description: bacterial SSU rRNA
Rfam family: Bacterial small subunit ribosomal RNA
Source: RNAcentral